UUUAAAAACAGUUAUUUGUGCUUCAAAAAAAUCCUGUAAUUUAAGCAGAAUUCAUGCCAUCGUCACUUUAAUUUUACGUAGGAGCAAAUGAUUGAAACUUUAGAAGAUUAUGUAACCUACCCAGAAUGACUCAUCUGAUAACUUAAUAAUCAACGCUGAACAUUGGAGUGCAGUUGGUUUACUGGGGUUAGUCCAGGUACCAAUUAUCCCCUGGAUUCCUGCUCAGGGUGUGAGCUCACCUAGCACUUUCUCUGCUGAAAAGGGACAGUUCAUUUGAUACAAGCAACCUCAAGUUUUCUACUCUUUGUCCCCAAAUAUCUCCAUAUCUUUAUUCAUUUUUUAUUUUUCUCUCACCUUUCUGUCUCCUCCUUUUUAAUAUCACUACCUGUGAUUUUUGUAACAAACUUUCCCACUCUUUGCUUAUCCUCCUCUUCCUCUUCCUAAAAGCCUUUCUCUAUUUUUCUUUUUCUUUAGUCUAUAAACACAUUCACACACUUCCCAUUAUAAUAAAACCUGAUUGUUUUUCAAAUUGCAGACCCAUUUCUCUUCUUUUUCUCACCAUCUAUUUCUAAAAGAAGGUUAACUUCCCCACAUUUAUUUUUAUCCUGUUACAAACAUAAUAUACAUGCACAAUGAAGAUGAUUUGGACCACACACACACUGUCUGAAAUCCUACCACCCAAGGAUAACCACUAACCUCUGUUAACAUUGUUCUGUCUCCUUCUCUCCUUCUCUCCUUCCUCACCCAUCUCUCUCUUUCUACCCAUUUUUACUUUCUUGAUCUCUCUCAUUUGUCUAAAACAUAUUGUGUAUGUAUAAUCUCAUCUACUUUUGUGCUAUAUAGCUUUUUGAAGGUCAAUUUAAUACUUUAAAAUGUUAUUUAAUUUUUAUAAAAGAAUGCAUGUCUUGAUUCAAAGGUCAAUAAUAGUACAAAGUUUAUAUUAAAAAUAUUUUAAAAACUACAAAACAUAGUUUCUUGCCCCAUUCUUCUCCACCCACAAAUCUUGUAGAUGAACACUUGAAAAGUUUUUAAAUAUCCCUUAGAGCUUUAAUGUUCAUGUUCUAAUUCAUGUGCUAUAUUGUUCAGGGUCCCAGCAGAAAAAGAGAUGAUUAAAGAAGUUUAAUGAAGAGAUGAUUUACAAAGGAGGAAGGAUGGCUCUGCCCAUCCAUCAGUCACCCUCAAAGUGUCCCCUGUGGAUCUGUGAUUGGCUCAUUAAAGAGGAAACCCAAACAGCAUUUUUAAAAGCAAUAAAAGGGGACAGAAGAGGAGCAGCAGAGACUGGAGGAUGGCUGGCAGAGCAGACAAACCAAGCAGGAUAUGCCACUGCUCAUGACUGCCCAAGAUGAAGUUGAGGCCGACAAUCUGAAGAGGCAGGGAGGAAACAGAGCAGGAAGGAAAACCAAGCUGUUUCUAAAACAUCUGGGCAGUUUCGCUUACCCGCGGCUGAUGAUUCUUCAUCCUCUUCAUCUUCAUCGGUGGGAGAUGUCUGGUAAACUCUGGGGUCCACAAAGGGGGUGAAGGAGGCCUUCGUGCUGCUCCCCAUGCCAUACUAAUGGAAAGGCAAGAGGAUUAAGAAGAACAGAUAAGUACUACAGGAAUGAACAAUGCCAAGAAUACUUUGCUUGGGCUUUAGAAUGGUUACAGAUUCUUCAAUCUAUUUAGCUUGUUCACACUCUGACCCUUGGAGUCAAGGUGUGCCUCUCUCUCCAGCUUCUCCCGGUGCUGGCUACUCACUGGCCAUUCUGCCUUUGCAGGGCUCCAUUAAUUGUCAGAUUGCAAGAGUUGCUGGGGGCAACUUAUAUUUUGGACCACAUGGUAAGAUGACCGUGAUGACAGAGCUUCUCUCUCCCUUGAAGUACAAACAAUCGCAUAUUGACCAAAUGGUCUUAAGAAAAGCUGACACAAUAAACUAAGUAAGCAUGCCCACAUAGCAGCAUUUCAUCCUGAACAUCCGGUCCACCAAAGUCUCCCUCUUGGAGCCUUUGGGCCCUUGUAAGCUGACCUGGUGAUGCAGGUGGAUUGGUGUCGGCUCAAGAAGCCUUAAAAUCUUGAAUGCAGGGACAAUUUCAUCCAGGGAUUGAAUAUUUUUCCCUCCCAGAAUGGUCGCUUUAAAAGGAUACUCCUAUUCUCAUGCCUUAUUUAGGGACUUCAUGAAGAUACUAGAUUUGCAGGCAAUGCACAGAGGGCUUGCUUAAAAAAUAAAUCUCGAUAAAGACAUGAAGGCAGACUCGACUAGGGAACAGCGAACUAAAUAUCAGGGCUUCACCUGGUGAAAUUCCAUAUUUCAGCUCUGCCAAAGAAGGUACAAUAACCACUUCCUCAUCUUGUCUGUCAUCUCUAUUCCUUCUACUAUGCUCAAGUCCUCUUAAUAUCACAAACAGACCUGCAUUCAAUAUCAGAAUAUCUCCUUUCAGACAAAUGUCUUUAACUGAGUUUUCACUUUCUAGCUUUAUUUUCAGGUUUCCAUUUAAAAAUAAAAUCAUCUCAGGACCCCGAAACACGUACGGAGGAAACCGCAAAGAUCCAAUUGAUUUUCCCUCCACCUUAUGAAAUUAGAAUGAUUUCACCCUCUACAAGCAUUCCUGAGUGACUACUAAGUGUGAGGCAUUUUGUUGAACAUGGAGGGAUCGGCCAGGAUCAAAGCAGGUAUACUGGUUAACCAUUCUGAUCCUGCUCUACAUGUGUACUGGAAAUGAACAACUAAGCAAGAAUUGGCACAUUGUGACAGCCAGGUUUCCCGCUGUUGGAGUGGAAAUUGACAGCUGCUUUGUGAGACUGGUUGGACCAGUAUGAGGGAUGGAGGACAGCACAGGUCACAGGUGUGAGAUGCAGCAGAAUUCUAGACGUGAGAAACAGGCAGCGGAGACAACAGUGAAGAAGGCAAAUCUCUGCAUGCUAUGCGUGAAAGAGCCCGUAAGUAUUGUCGGAGUUUGGGGAACGAUGAAUGCAGCCUGGGGUCGUUGAGGUGGUGUCAAGAAGGAGACAGGACUUGACUGGGACUUUGAGGAAUAAGCAGGAAGUCUGGGGGAGCGCCUGAGUGAAGACGCAGGGGCUGUGAUUUUUCUGGGGCUAGCUGGUGUAGAGAGGACACCCACCCUGAUGGAGUACUAAGUCUGUGUUAGGGUAGCCUGGAAGAGUGGGUCAUCAGAAGAAAUGGAUGCCUUAUGCAGCAGUGCCUGUAAAGCUUGGUAGAGCACACAGGUCUCCCCUGUGUGCAGGCUUAUGGAUGACUGGGGAGGAGACAUGCAGGCUGACCAGGUGGGAGGCUGCUGCCAUAUUGAUGAUAUAAGGCCUGGGCCCAGGCUGUCAGAGAGGGGCCUGGUCAUUGGCAGAACCAGCUGGCAAGUGCAUGUGUCUCGGAUGGAGCUCAGAGCCUCUUCUGGCAUGAAAUUAAUUGAAUCCCAUGGGUAUUAAAUCCGUGACCUGGGCCUCAUUAGCACAGGCCCUUCUUACUGGAGCGAACCAGCAUGGGUGCUGAUCUUAAUAGGUUGCUAUUUUUGCUGCUGGAGACUGAAAGAAGUAUUUAGUGUCUAUACAAACACACAUAGAAAUAGGGGAAACUUCAAAAUGCUUUUUCUACGUUAUUUUUUUUUUUUGGAAAAUAUAAGUAUUUAAAAAAAUUUUAUU
Long non-coding RNA from Felis catus (domestic cat), 3627 nucleotides. RefSeq lists it as uncharacterized. The transcript has 7 exons. The record is from RefSeq and is a predicted model, not a curated record. NCBI's taxonomy places the organism in Eukaryota, Metazoa, Chordata, Mammalia, Carnivora, Felidae.